Molecule: ribosomal RNA, 502 nt
Filed under: uncultured bacterium
Lineage: Bacteria
Description: partial 16S ribosomal RNA
Rfam family: Bacterial small subunit ribosomal RNA
Source: RNAcentral
AUUGAACGCUGGCGGUAUGCUUAACACAUGCAAGUCGAACGGCAGCACUGUCUGUAGUAAUACAGAUGGGUGGCGAGUGGCGGACGGGUGCGUAAUACGCAGGAAUCGGCCCUAUAGUGGGGGAUAACUCGAGGAAACUGGAGCUAAUACCGCAUAGUACCUACUGAGUAAAGCGGGGGGAAUCGUGCCCUGUGGGAGGAGCCUGCGUCUGGUUAGCUAGUUGGUGGUGUAAAGGCCUAACAAGGCGACGAUCAGUAGGUGGUCUGAAGGGAUGAUCAACCACACUGGGACUGAGACACGGCCCAGACUCCUACGGGAGGCAGCAGUCGGGAAUAUUGGACAAGGGGGGCAACCCUGAUCCAGCAAUACCGCGUGUGUGAAGAAGGCCUUAGGGUUGUAAAGCACUUUAGGCGGGGAAGAAGGUAUGUAUUUUAAGAGAUAAAAUAUUUGACGGUACCCGCAGAAUAAGCACCGGCUAACUCUGUGCCAGCCGCCGCGGUAA